RNAcentral lists this ribosomal RNA (263 nucleotides) under uncultured bacterium. RNAcentral describes it as "partial 16S ribosomal RNA". It matches the Rfam family "Bacterial small subunit ribosomal RNA", at positions 524 to 786 of the family's 1533-position model. The record is from RNAcentral.
UACGGAGGAUCCGAGCGUUAUCCGGAUUUAUUGGGUUUAAAGGGUACGUAGGCGGGAUGAUAAGUCAGCGGUGAAAUUUUGCAGCUUAACUGUAAGCUUGCCGUUGAAACUAUUAUUCUUGAGUGUAGAUAAGGUAGGCGGAAUGUGUUGUGUAGCGGUGAAAUGCUUAGAUAUAACACAGAACACCAAUUGCGAAGGCAGCUUACCGGGUUACCACUGACGCUGAGGUACGACAGCGUGGGGAUCAAACAGGAUUAGAUACC